AACGCACCUUGCGCUCCUUGGUAUUCCGAGGAGCAUGCCUGUUUGAGUGUCAUUAAAUUCUCAACCUCACCAGUUUUCUGAACUGCGUCGAGGCUUGGAUGUGGGGGUUUGUGCAGGCUGCCUCAGCGCGGUCUGCUCCCCUGAAAUGCAUUAGCGAGGUUCAUACUGAGCUUCCGUCUAUUGGUGUGAUAAUUAUCUACGCCGUGGACAGGGUUCAGACUCGCUUCUAACCGUCCCUCGGGACAAUACCCUUGACAAUUUGACCUCAAAUCAGGUAGGACUACCCGCUGAACUUAA
RNAcentral lists this unclassified non-coding RNA (297 nucleotides) under uncultured Psathyrellaceae. RNAcentral's name for it is "sequence contains ITS2". The stretch from base 1 to 52 matches the Rfam family "5.8S ribosomal RNA", at positions 103 to 154 of the family's 154-position model. The record is from RNAcentral. Lineage: Eukaryota; Fungi; Basidiomycota; Agaricomycetes; Agaricales; Psathyrellaceae.